Non-coding RNA from Salmo salar (Atlantic salmon), 58 nucleotides. The record is from Rfam. Lineage: Eukaryota; Metazoa; Chordata; Actinopteri; Salmoniformes; Salmonidae.
UGGCUCAGUUGGUAGAGCAUGGUGUUUGCAACGCCAGGGUUGUGGGUUUGAUUCCCAA